Molecule: long non-coding RNA, 143 nt
Organism: Telopea speciosissima
Lineage: Eukaryota; Viridiplantae; Streptophyta; Magnoliopsida; Proteales; Proteaceae
Exons: 2
Source: RefSeq, a predicted model, not a curated record
CUAUAUACCCAUAUUUUGGGCCCAUAAAAGUGGCCCAUUACAGAGAAAACCCAAAGGAUCAAAGGCCCAGCACUUACAUAAUCCAACCCAAGGCCUAUUUCCAAUAAAAUAAGCCCUUUAGGUGACUUAUCUGCAUCAAGGUC